RNAcentral lists this ribosomal RNA (491 nucleotides) under uncultured bacterium. RNAcentral describes it as "partial 16S ribosomal RNA". It matches the Rfam family "Bacterial small subunit ribosomal RNA", at positions 32 to 507 of the family's 1533-position model. The record is from RNAcentral.
AACGCUGGCGGCGUGCCUAAUACAUGCAAGUAGACCGCUGAAGGAGGAGCUUGCUUCUCUGGAUGAGUUGCGAACGGGUGAGUAACGCGUAGGUAACCUGCCUGGUAGCGGGGGAUAACUAUUGGAAACGAUAGCUAAUACCGCAUAAGAGUAGAUGUUGCAUGACAUUUGCUUAAAAGGUGCAAUUGCAUCACUACCAGAUGGACCUGCGUUGUAUUAGCUAGUUGGUGGGGUAACGGCUUACCAAGGCGACGAUACAUAGCCGACCUGAGAGGGUGAUCGGCCACACUGGGACUGAGACACGGCCCAGACUCCUACGGGAGGCAGCAGUAGGGAAUCUUCGGCAAUGGACGGAAGUCUGACCGAGCAACGCCGCGUGAGUGAAGAAGGGUUUCGGAUCGUAAAGCUCUGUUGUAAGAGAAGAACGAGUGUGAGAGUGGAAAGUUCACACUGUGACGGUAUCUUACCAGAAAGGGACGGCUAACUACGUG